GACGAACGCUGGCGGCGUGCUUAACACAUGCAAGUCGAGCGGUAAGGCCUUUCGGGGUACACGAGCGGCGAACGGGUGAGUAACACGUGGGUGAUCUGCCCUGCACUUCGGGAUAAGCCUGGGAAACUGGGUCUAAUGCCGGAUAUGACCUCCUAUCGCAUGGUGGGUGGUGGAAAGAUUUAUCGGUGCAGGAUGGGCCCGCGGCCUAUCAGCUUGUUGGUGGGGUAAUGGCCUACCAAGGCGACGACGGGUAGCCGACCUGAGAGGGUGACCGGCCACACUGGGACUGAGACACGGCCCAGACUCCUACGGGAGGCAGCAGUGGGGAAUAUUGCACAAUGGGCGAAAGCCUGAUGCAGCGACGCCGCGUGAGGGAUGACGGCCUUCGGGUUGUAAACCUCUUUCAGCAGGGACGAAGCGCAAGUGACGGUACCUGCAGAAGAAGCACCGGCUAACUACGUG
This 462-nucleotide ribosomal RNA is filed under the name uncultured bacterium. Its description in RNAcentral is "partial 16S ribosomal RNA". It matches the Rfam family "Bacterial small subunit ribosomal RNA", at positions 28 to 507 of the family's 1533-position model. The record is from RNAcentral.